AACCAAAUUAGGCAACCAAAGAAGGAAAUAGAAAGUCAUCUUCUUCCAUCUCUAUGCCACCGCCAUUGAUGAUCUCCAAGCACCAGUCGCUUGCCGGAUAUCAACUUCCCAAUGUUGUAUCUCCAUCAUUUCAGCUGCUUCCACACUCAAACUUGACUCCGGAGAUCGGAAUCUAUGGAGACCUCCCAAUCUGAGAAAAUGCUGCUCUUGGGUGCUGCUAUAAAAUGCUCCAGCUGUCAUCUCUCUCAUUCUCGACUAUAGGGCUUCAGAUUUUUUGGGAUUGUGAAGAACAACACCAUUCGGGAUGUCGAAACGAGGACGAUGAGGUUCCAUCGGGAACAAGUUCAGAAUGACACUGGGUCUGCCGGUGGCGGUGACGGUGAACUGUGCCGAUAACACUGGUGCGAAGAACAUGUACAUCAUUUCUGUGAAAGGGAUCAAGGGAAGGCUUAACAGGUUGCCUUCAGCUUGUGUUGGAGAUAUGGUAAUGACUACUGUGAAGAAGGGUAAGCCAGAUCUCAGGAAGAAGGUUAUGCCUGCUGUCAUUGUUCGUCAGCGCAAGCCAUGUUGUUGGUUUCGCUCUUUCCGUCCAUCACUAGCCAAGGUUCAUUUGAGUUUGAGGUCACUAGUGAAGUCGGUUGUGGUGGAAUAGCUUAUUUCAGCUCGUCAUUGUCUCAGUCGCUGCUCAUAACGAGUUUGAAGAUUUCAAAGAAAGCAACCGUAGUGGAAGAACAUUAUAUCAAUUUCAGGGCUCUUUGUGUGGACUUUG
Molecule: long non-coding RNA, 769 nt
Organism: Solanum stenotomum
Lineage: Eukaryota; Viridiplantae; Streptophyta; Magnoliopsida; Solanales; Solanaceae
Exons: 3
Source: RefSeq, a predicted model, not a curated record